Molecule: ribosomal RNA, 1319 nt
Filed under: Polystoechotes punctata
Lineage: Eukaryota; Metazoa; Arthropoda; Insecta; Neuroptera; Ithonidae
Description: 16S ribosomal RNA
Rfam family: Archaeal large subunit ribosomal RNA (bases 884-1240)
Source: RNAcentral
UUAGUUAAAAAUUACUUAAUGAUAAUAAAGUUUUAAAAUAAAUUAAUAAAAAUAAUUUUAAAUAAAAAUGUUAUUGUAAAUUUUAUUGAUAAAAUAAUUUUAGUAAUAGUAAAAUAGUAUAGAAAUAGAAAUUUGAAAUAAAUUUAUUUAUAAAUAAAGUAAUUUUAAUUUAAUGUACCUUUUGUAUCAGGGUUUAUUAAAAAAAAAUUAUUAAAAAUAAUUUUCUCGAAUUUAAGAGAGCUAAAAUUUUAUGAAAUUUAUUGUAUCAAAAUUAUUUUAAAUAAAAUUUUAGUAAUGAAACGUUAGUCGUUCUUAAAUAUAUCUAGUUUUUUAAGAAAUGAAUUUAAUUCAGAUAUUUUUUUUAUUUAAAUUUUCUUUUAAAGUAUUUAUUUAAAAAAAUAUUAAAAUUUUUAGGGAUUAGCUUAAAAAUUUUGCUUAUAAAUAAAAAUAAUUAAUAAAAAUAAUAGGAAUAGAAAUUUCCAUUUAAAAUUAAAGUGUUAUAAUUAAUUUAAAAUUAAAUUUUAUUUAUUUUUAUUUAAGUAUUUUAUUAAAAUAAAUUUAAUAAUUAUAUUAAAUUGAAAUAAUGAUAAAAUUAGUAUUAUUUUAUUUAAAAAUAAAAAAUUUAAUAAAGAUUAAAAUAAGGAAUUCAGCAAAAUAAUACUCACCUGUUUAUCAAAAACAUGUCUUUUUGAAAAUAAUAUAAAGUCUAACCUGCCCACUGAUAAUUAUUAAAGGGCCGCGGUAUAUUGACUGUGCAAAGGUAGCAUAAUCAUUUGUCUUUUAAUUGAAGGCUAGAAUGAAUGGUUGAAUGAGGUAUUAACUGUCUCAUUUUAAAAAAAAUAAAAAUUUAGCUUUUUAGUCAAAAGGCUGAAAUAAUUUUAGAGGACGAGAAGACCCUAUAGAUCUUUAUAAUAAUAAUUUUAUAAAAAAUAGAAAUUUAAAUAAUUAUAAAAUGAAUUAUUAUUUUGUUGGGGUGACAAAAAAAUUUAUAAAACUUUUUUUAAAUAUAAACAUAAAUUAAUGAAUAAAUGAUCCAAUUAUAUUGAUUAAAAAAUUAAGUUACCUUAGGGAUAACAGCGUAAUUUUUUUGAAGAGUUCAUAUCGAUAAAAAAGAUUGCGACCUCGAUGUUGAAUUAAAGGUUAUUUCUAGAUGCAGAAGUUUAGAGUUUAGGUCUGUUCGACCUUUGAAUCUUUACAUGAUUUGAGUUCAGACCGGCGUGAGCCAGGUCGGUUUCUAUCCUUAAUUAAAAAAAAUAUUUUAGUACGAAAGGACCAAAUAUUAAAAAUAAUUUUUAUAAAAUUGAAUAAUAGAAAUUUUU